This 497-nucleotide ribosomal RNA is filed under the name uncultured bacterium. RNAcentral describes it as "partial 16S ribosomal RNA". It matches the Rfam family "Bacterial small subunit ribosomal RNA", at positions 28 to 507 of the family's 1533-position model. The record is from RNAcentral.
GACGAACGCUGGCGGCGUGCCUAAUACAUGCAAGUUGAGCGCUGAAGGUUGGUACUUGUACCAACUGGAUGAGCAGCGGACGGGUGAGUAACGCGUGGGUAACCUGCCUUUGAGCGGGGGACAACAUUUGGAAACGAAUGCUAAUACCGCAUAAAAACUUUAAACACAAGUUUUAAGAUUGAAAGAUGCAAUUGCAUCACUCAAAGAUGAUCCCGCGUUGUAUUAGCUAGUUGGUGAGGUAAAGGCUCACCAAGGCGAUGGUACAUAGCCGACCUGAGAGGGUGAUCGGCCACAUUGGGACUGAGACACGGCCCAAGCUCCUUCGGGAGGCAGCAGUAGGGGAUCUUCGGGAAUGGACGAAAGUCUGAACGAGCAACGCCGCGUGAGUGAAGAAGGGUUUCGGAUCGUAAAACUCUGUUGGUAGAGAAGAACGUUGGUGAGAGUGGAAAGCUCACCAAGUGACGGUAACUACCCAGAAAGGGACGGCUAACUACGUG